Non-coding RNA from Chelonoidis abingdonii (Abingdon island giant tortoise), 1421 nucleotides. Lineage: Eukaryota; Metazoa; Chordata; Testudines; Testudinidae. The record is from RefSeq and is a predicted model, not a curated record.
AUUCUCAAAUGCAGCAGGUGAUAGUGCACCUCUCAGGACUCUGGGGUUCUCUGCCCAUCUCCACCACUGGCCUUUGAUAGGCCCUUGGUGAAACUACAGCUUCCUCACAGUUCUCGGCCAGCUCCCAGCUCUUCAGCUCCCAAGCAAGUGCUGUAAGGUACAUUCAGUCCCUGUGUGACUUCUUCUGCACAGCAUGCAUGUUGCAGUGCCAGCCAGAGCCAGCCAGCCGCAAAUUGUGUGUAAAUGGAACAUGCUUGGAAAAUUAUGAUCGCGCAACCCCUGCACACGGGAUUAGUGUCUAAUCUCAGCGAGCCCCGAGUCAAUGCAGACACAGGCCAUGGACGUCACGGAAGUGACUGCAGAUUUACACUCCACUCAGCAGCCACCUAGCAAUCACUCUGGUGCUUUGGAAUCCUUCCGUCCGAAAGACGGCGUGGCAGGGUUGUGGAGGAAGGCUCAAGACACAGAAUGUGCAAGCUGUGAUGGCGUGCAAAUGGAACACGGUGGGAAAGUGUGUGUCGAGCCCGCCAGUGACCUGGUCCGUGUAAGAGGAUAACAGCCUACUACUGCUGCCAGCAAAUGAAGUUCAGCAAAUGGGCUCGGAACACCCCUGAGUACUGCACUGUUUGAAUCUGAGGGUUAGUUUGGGCCCUUUGUAAAAAGAGUAUCCAUGCACAGCUCAGAAUUGUUAUUAGUCUUUAUUGUCUGUAUUUCAGCGAUGUCUGCAGACCCCAGGCAGGAUCAGGGCACCAUGGCACUAGAUGCUGUAUGCGUACAUACCAAACAGACAGCCUCUGCCUCCAGGAGCUCACAGUUUAAGGUCGGAGGAGCUACAGCCGUUCACUGUACCGGCAAAGUCCUCACAUCUUCCACUGGCUGUGACAGGCUGACAAUUUCCUGCAGUCUCCGGAAUGAACAUAAGUUCAAUCUUAUUGAAUUUGGUUAAUAUCUUUGGGAUCCAGGGCCAGCUCCAGGCACCAGCAGAGGAAGCACAUGCUAAGGGCGGCAUUCCGGCCAUUCUUGGGGCGAAACAGUCCGGGUGGCUUUUUUGUUUUUUGCUUGGGGCGGCAAAAAUGGUAGAGCCGGCCCUGUUGGGAUCUAUUGUAUUAAAAAUGCAGUUGUGUGUGUGUGUGUUAAUGUGGAGUUGUAUGUUCAGUAUUGUUUCCAUAGGCAGGGUAAAUAGGAGAUCAGCAGGGGGUGAUUAGGCGAAUUCACGCAGGUUGUAACAACUCCAGAGAAGCCGCCCCCCCCGGAGACCGGUCACAUAUACUGGUUCAAACUGGAUUCUCCAGGGACCAACAGCUGGAGGAAGAGUUUUUGGAUAAAGAGCUUGAUUUUAAAAUGGCUCAGGGCCUUCUCCCCGAUCCAGCAAACGGACAGGUCCCAGGGCCCUUCUGGAAGGGUUGGAAGGACAGGGCCUA